UAGGGCGGGACACGAGGAAUCCUGUCUGAAUCCGGGUCGACCACGAUCCAACCCUAAAUACUAAUACCAGAUCGAUAGUGCACAAGUACCGUGAGGGAAAGGUGAAAAGAACUGAGGUGAUCAGAGUGAAAUAGAACCUGAAACCAUUUGCUUACAAUCAUUCAGAGCACUAUGUAGCAAUACAGUGUGAUGGACUGCCUUUUGCAUAAUGAGCCUGCGAGUUGUGGUGUCUGGCAAGGUUAAGCAAACGCGAAGCCGUAGCGAAAGCGAGUCUGAAUAGGGCGCUUAGUCAGAUGCUGCAGACCCGAAACGAAGUGAUCUAUCCAUGAGCAAGUUGAAGCUAGUGUAAGAACUAGUGGAGGACUGAACCCAUAGGCGUUGAAAAGCCCCGGGAUGACUUGUGGAUAGGGGUGAAAGGCCAAUCAAACUUCGUGAUAGCUGGUUCUCUCCGAAAUAUAUUUAGGUAUAGCGUUGUGUCGUAAUAUAAGGGGGUAGAGCACUGAAUGGGCUAGGGCAUACACCAAUGUACCAAACCCUAUCAAACUCCGAAUACCUUAUAUGUAAUCACAGCAGUCAGGCGGCGAGUGAUAAAAUCCGUCGUCAAGAGGGAAACAACCCAGACUACCAGCUAAGGUCCCUAAAUCUUACUUAAGUGGAAAACGAUGUGAAGUUACUUAAACAACCAGGAGGUUGGCUUAGAAGCAGCCAUCCUUUAAAGAAAGCGUAAUAGCUCACUGGUCUAGUGAUUUUGCGCGGAAAAUAUAACGGGGCUAAAGUAAGUACCGAAGCUGUAGACUUGCACACAACUUAGAUUAUUUAAGUUUAGAAUAUGAGAAACUAAGUUAUGUUUAGUUAUAUUUUUACUGAUUUUUAUAGAGUAAAGAUAGAAAUAAAACUUAGUAAAAUCAGUAAAAAUAUUCUUAGGCUAAAGUUAAGUAGUUUAAGUUGUGUGCAAGUGGUAGGAGAGCGUUCUAUUUGCGUCGAAGGUAUACCGGUAAGGAGUGCUGGAGCGAAUAGAAGUGAGCAUGCAGGCAUGAGUAGCGAUAAUUAAUGUGAGAAUCAUUAACGCCGUAAACCCAAGGUUUCCUACGCGAUGCUCGUCAUCGUAGGGUUAGUCGGGUCCUAAGUCGAGUCCGAAAGGGGUAGACGAUGGCAAAUUGGUUAAUAUUCCAAUACCAACAUUAGUGUGCGAUGGAAGGACGCUUAGGGCUAAGGGGGCUAGCGGAUGGAAGUGCUAGUCUAAGGUCGUAGGAGGUUAUACAGGCAAAUCCGUAUAACAAUACUCCGAGAACUGAAAGGCUUUUUGAAGUCUUCGGAUGGAUAGAAGAACCCCUGAUGCCGUCGAGCCAAGAAAAGUUUCUAAGUUUAGCUAAUGUUGCCCGUACCGUAAACCGACACAGGUGGGUGGGAUGAGUAUUCUAAGGCGCGUGGAAGAACUCUCUUUAAGGAACUCUGCAAAAUAGCACCGUAUCUUC
RNAcentral lists this ribosomal RNA (1475 nucleotides) under Campylobacter jejuni. Its description in RNAcentral is "partial 23S ribosomal RNA". It matches the Rfam family "Bacterial large subunit ribosomal RNA", at positions 413 to 1737 of the family's 2925-position model. Lineage: Bacteria; Pseudomonadati; Campylobacterota; Epsilonproteobacteria; Campylobacterales; Campylobacteraceae. The record is from RNAcentral.